Molecule: transfer RNA, 62 nt
Filed under: Octomeris sp. BKKC-2014
Lineage: Eukaryota; Metazoa; Arthropoda; Thecostraca; Balanomorpha; Chthamalidae
Description: tRNA-Arg
Source: RNAcentral
GAAUAGAAAGCGAAGUUCGCUAUCGGUUUCGACCCGGUUCCUGGUCAAUUGACCUCUGUUCU